UUGGUUUUUUUUUUGUCUCCUUUUUAAAAAUCUUUUUUUAUCCACUGAGAUGGGAAUCCACCCUUCUACUGCUGACUUGGCUGGUGCAGUAGGGCUGGCUGCACUAACCUCCCCAGGGAAUUCGCCAUCAGAGUGUGUGACUGAGCGGCAAGGUGGGCAUAAGGCAUGGUGGGCAUGUUGGCUCCACACAGAUGGAGACUGAGGAUUGAGUGAGCAAAUGGUAAGGAGGAAGGUACAUAUAAACUGAAAAGUCUUUUCAGUUUUACUCACUGUUUAAGAAGCACAUAGCAAGUGCUAUAAAAAUACAGACGAGUAAUAUGUAGUUGGUUGAUCCUCCCCUGGCCUCAGCAGAGGCAGAUGGAAUUGGACCCAUUUAUCUGCUAGUUUUGGGGCUGGUUCAGAGUGAGUGUGAGUACAAACUCUGCUGUUGCACAAGGGUCAUGAUCUAGGGAGGGCUUAUACACUUGGACGUGCUGUGCCCCCAGAUAUUUGUACCGGUCCCUAAAGUUUUCAUGCAAGACAUCUUAAAUUGCUGCUGCCCUGUCUGUCGAUUUUGUUCUUGUGGAAUGGCAGAGGAUUGGCAGUGAAUUGGAUCCUGCUUUCUGAAAUGCUUAGUUCAGGGCUUUAGUGAUGCAAUGAUGUGGAGUAGCUUCAAGCAGCACACGCUGGAGCUUGGUUAUUUAGGGGUCCAUGUUACAGAUGUAUCUAAACCCCUUUCUCCCCCAAAGAGAUGUCAAGGUGACGUUAAUUCCACUACCAAUAUAUGUUUGUUGUAAUGUGUGAAGCAAUAGCAGGAGGGUGAGCCUACAGCACGUGCCUGUACAUCACUUUAAUUUGUAAUCAACCUAGAAUGAUUUCUAGUUCAUAGCUAUGUCGUAGUUAUUUGCACAUGCUGUGCUACAGUGGAUUCUACUUGCUUAAAAUCCUUGUCAGGGAAGAAAUUUUUCUGGCUUUUAUUUGCAAUGAAAGCUGUUCCCUAGAGUCAUGUCAGCUGCAGAAAUCCAGACCCCAGCACAAGUGUCUGCAUUAAAAACUGAGCUUUGGGCUCCAUUAAAAUACCGUGACUGCACAUGUCACAAACAGAGACAGGCAGUGCAGUAGCACAGGCACUUGAAAGAUCCUGCUUUGAAACCGAGGGGCUUUUGAAACUGUGGGGCUUUUGAAACUGAGGUUGCAACCCUGGAGAAAAGAAACAGCUAUCUCCUCUCUUUGCUUCUUCCAGCCUCUGUCAGCUUCUGGCUUUAAAUUUUCUCUGAAAUUAUGCACUUGUCUCUUGGUAAUCUUCCCCCAUAUUUUAACUGGGGAUGGCAGGUAAGGCAUAAGGUCAAAGAACUGGAAAUGACCUUGCAAAACUGAGACAAUGGAGCCAGAAAGAUGGCCCUUCUGUUAAAACUGGUGAUAGUAACUGCCAGAUUUUUGGGAAUGUUUGCAAAAUCGUGAUUAGAUCAAGCAAAAUUACAUAAAACUUUUGACCUUUGAAUAUAAACAGGGCUGGAGGACUCUGAGAAGAGAAUGGCAAGGCUCCAGUAAAGAGAGACAGUUUAGUCCACACUGUGUAGGCAGCAAGGCAUGCUGAUGGGUUAAUGCAUCUUCUUCACAUUUAAGAGAAAAGCACAUAUCCUCUUCCUUUUUGUAGAAAAUGUUUUGUGUGUGUAUGCAUGUCACUCCCAUGCAUAGGGGGGGUGCAUGCCCUUCAUUGCCUCUAAGACAAGGGUUGGCCUGCUUGUUCUGGCUAGUUUUUAUAGAUGGCACAUUGCCACAAUGUAGGAGUGACUUUUAUUUCUGUAGCAUGCCCUGUGGUCACCACUUGUUCAAUAUUAAGUCUGUUUUCCCUCAGUUCCUUUUGGAGGAGGGUUGGAGCAGUGUUUUGGUUGGUUUUGCUGCUCUGUUGUUGCGUGGCUGCAGGUGUUUCUGUUAUUUAUGGAUGCUCCAACCAAGGGAACUUUUGACGUGGAAGGGUUUAGGGUUUAUGGUGAGGUCACAGUUCCUGGUGGAAUUAAUUCAUCAGAUCCCCUGCCCUAGCAGGGAAAUGUGUGCUCUGCUUUUAACCAUCCUGUGCUGAUGGGAUCAUUGGAGAUGGCAGACAGGAGCCUGUGGCUGCAGACAGACCUUAUGUUGUAGGGACACCCAGGAGGCCCUGAAGGAAGUGAAGUGAGGCUCACACAGACAACUCUGGUAUCUAGACCAACUGUGGGAGCAGAGAUAUGUCCUGUAAGGAAAUGUCCUUUUGGGUGUAAAUAGUACAUGAUGAGGGCCAGCAGACACAAUCCAAAAAGCAGCCUGGACUUGUACUUUCUGAAAGUCUGCAUCCCUGUCUCAGCUCAGGACGCCUCAUUUCCAAAAGCAUUAAGAAUUUCCGUACAGCUUUAGACUGUCUCCAGAUUCCUACCCACUCAAUCUCUAAUUAAAUGUAAGAAUUUCCACUUUAUGAUUAAUCCUUCUUUUCAGGGCAAGUUGCAAAAUAGUUGAAAAAGUAAGACUUAUCUGUCUGCUGCUUUCCUUCUGCCUUUUUAGUUUGCAAAUGAAUGUAGGGUCAUCUUAUAUCAUUCGUCUUCUUAGAACUUUUGCCAGUUUUAAUUCUGUAAAAUGCAAUAGUCAUUCCUCAUACUUAUCUGUAAAUUGCAUUGAAUCUUGUUGCAGUCAUAUUAGGUGGUAAUGAUUUAUAUGCCUUCUAAUAAUUUAUUUGAUUAUGCCAGCUAUGUUCCAUUUCUAAAGAAUUAUCAAGUUAAUGCUCUUGCAUAGGGAACAAAGAAAUAUUUUCCAUACUUCUUACUUUGCCUUUCUGCACAUUGGUACAGUGCUGCAUUUUUUGUUUAUUAAUACUGUGGUGUGUAAGGAUGAGGCUGACAAUUUAUUGGAGGUAUUUAAUGUUGUUAGACCCCAGGUUGCACAGAAGUUGCAUAUCCAGAGGUGGUUUCAGUGUGGUGAUUGUCACUGCUUGGGUGUUUCUGCCUUGUGCACAUCCCCAGAUUCUGCAAGUCUCUGAUGGGAGUAUCUGUGCUGGCACAGAUGGGGUUGAUGGCUCUGAGCUCAGUGGGAAUGAGAAGGACAAAUAACACUGUCAAAAAUUUCAGUGGCAAAAUAUGUUGGGUUUUCCUUUCCUUUUCCUUAUGCCCCAACAGUUCUGUGCCAAGCAUAAGGAGCUCUCUCACCCCCCAUUCAACAAAGGGCUGGGUGCAGGGAAAUAGCUAUGCACAGGUUUAAAUUUAGGAUUGGAAUUACUCCCAUAGAUUUCUGAGGCAAUUGUUUUCUCAAAAAGAAAUAACUAGGAAAUGGGGCUGCUGGGGAAGGACAGGUAGAGAAAAGCAUAGUAGGAAUAAAGAAAAGUGAUUUUUCUAUCUGGAAUGUUUCAUACACUGGAAACUUUCAAUAUUUCCUUUCUUGAUGGACUGUCUACCCUGUCUGUUUUCUCUCCCUUUUGGAACUUUGUGCUUAAGUCCUGGAUAAUAUGCCUCCCACACCAGCUGACAAAACACAAAGAAGUAGAAAGAAGCUUCAGCUCUAGGGUAAAACUCUUCUUUUCAUGAAAAGAAUUACGUAGUUUUUCUUUCCUUUUCCUUGACUUUCAUAUUUAGAGAAGCACAGGAUGGAACAAAGUAUUGCACAAGUGCAAACAAUGUCCAACUUUUUUUUCCUCACUAAAAUUUCUCUUUGAAAAACACUAAGUUUCUUUCUGAACAUGUUGCCAUAAAAUAUCGAUUUUUGGCAGUGUUUGAAUGCUGCUUUUUUUUGUCAUUUGAAAGUACUGUGCUGCUGAGACAUUGCACUUUUGAACAGGAUGAAAUAUGUUUAUUUCUUAGGAAAAAUGCUUGUGAUUACUCCAGAAGCCAAAUUGUUGCAUUUUCCAGAGUUCAGAAUACAGCCUGGUACUGUGUGCACAUGAGAGAAGUACUACAACUCAAAGGGACAGGUGGAAAACCAGGAAGAUAUUUUACCCAGUGCACAAGCACCUGGAAUCAUGCAGAAAAUCAAACAAGAAAUUACUUCCUAGCAAAAAAUUAAAGCAUCCAAGCAAUGAAAUUAAUAAUCAGAGAGAUAUAUUACACCCUCUCCCUUUAAACUAGGUUUUUCUUCUAUUAAAGCACUUGAAUUUUUGGACAAUUUGAGUCCUGACCCUGUAAACUGCCUUGUUCCCAGUUCUGCUCUUGAGUAGUUCAGCCCCCUCUGAUGCAUUGAAACUGAGGAGCCAGAUCCACAGCCUAGAUCACUGCAUCUGCCCAUGGUUACAAAAAUACACUCCAUGUCUCUUAAAUGUUUUGGUUCUCUUUUCUUUACCAUUACUUGUUAUUGCUUUGUAUUGCUAUUAUUGCAUUAAUUCUACCACUGAGUGUCACUGGGAUUGGGCUUCCUUAACAUCUCUGUUCAUGUGCUUUUCAACAUUAUUUGCUUUUUAACAUUAGUGAAGACAGCUGUGUGCACACAGAACAUCUGGGGGCCUACUGAACUGUAAAGCCUCCUGACAUUGAUGUUUAAUUUGCAUUGACACAUUUUCACUUUUACUUUAUACCUGCUUGCAGCCUUGCAUGUCUUUUGGCUCUUUGCUCUUUUACAGAUGUCAAGUAGCAGGGAGCUGAAACAGAGGAAUACCCUUGGUUUUCUGCAAAGCUGUGGUGUAUGAAUAAGGAUUUUUUUCCCAAAAUUGUUCCUCAGGUUGCUGAGGACUGUUUGUGUUUAAACAGCCACUUGUUGUUUGCUGAUACUCUCUUUUUAAGUGUUAUUGUUUCAUAAUGGUCAUUUGCACUUGGAAAACCUUCUUGUCAGGAGAGUGGUUGAUGGUUUGCUAAGAGGCUGAUUUCAACCAGAUCUUUUCACAGACAUGGUUAUUAGGGAAUGCAGCAAUCUUCUGACAGAUUUUCUACUCUAUUAAGCAGCCACAUAAUCCCUGUGAAUAAAAGUGCCUACUUUUACAAGAGUUGGCUUUGAUGUCUUGAGGCCAUUUGGGUGUUUACAAUCAGCUGAAAAGCAGCUGGUUCUGCAGGUGGCAGUUCUCUGGCUAUCCCCAGAUGCUUUUUGGUGCAGAUCUGCAAACACCAUGUGUGGUACUUUUGUCUCCUUGUGCAGAGGGGCAGGUUUGUUAAAAAGGCACAGUAACCCAACCAUUCUAUGAUUCUGUGCAUCCCAUGGCCUUUUCUGGACCUGUCAGAUUUGUGCAAGCAAGGACUUGGUCCCCUGGGAGCACGGCUGGUCCCAUGGCUCCGUGGCUGCCCAGCAGGGCUCUGCUUUGGGCCCUUCCAGUGGGUGAUUCCCUUUUGCCCACAACUUCCUCCCGAACCAUUGUGUUUUCCUGUUGACUAAAUCCUUAUUUCCUUGGCUCUGUAGUGACCCUUUAAUGAAGUUAGGGCUAUUUAUCCCAGAGAUGUGUAAUAUUUGUUCUCCAUACAUGUUGGCCUUUUGCUUAUUCUUGAAGGCGUGAUGUAGCUGAAUUACUUCACUGUUUGUUUCUGUUCUGUUGUUGAUUAAUCUGUUUUUCCACUAGGGCUCUGUUAUGAGAGAAGAUUAAAAUUACAGAGAAGAUAGUUGUUUGUUUCAAAUAUUUUGUUUCCUUUCUCUGUUGGGAAUACUAGUAUAAACACCAAGCAAUCUGAAUUUAAAUAGCUAAAGUAUUAGUCUUGCUGUUCCAGUUGCUUGUCAUUACACUUGAGGAUAAGGUUACAGCUGAUUAUACAAAAUAUGGGAGCCAUAGGUUUUACAUUCUCAAUCAGCAUAUUAUAAAUGAACUAUGCAAAUCUGAGAUAGCUUUUUUUUGAUAAUUGAAAGAGAUUUUCCUUGGAGUAUGCAAGACUCUUGAGAGAAGCUGAAUUGCUUGUUUGUAAUUCUGUUAUAAGCUUUACUGGUAUUUAUUUAACAUGCAGUUUAUUGCUACUGAAUAUUUUUUUUAUGGCUUGCUGUCAAAAUUGUCAGAAUACUCAGAAGGUUGCUCCCAGUUUCGAUACCUUUUGCACAGUGGUUUGUUUGUUAGACCAAUCUGAAGCAUUCUCCAUGAGCCUGACUCAUGUGCAAGGCAGCAGUGCACUUAAGUGAAGAAAA
Molecule: non-coding RNA, 6027 nt
Organism: Taeniopygia guttata (zebra finch)
Lineage: Eukaryota; Metazoa; Chordata; Aves; Passeriformes; Estrildidae
Source: RefSeq, a predicted model, not a curated record